GACGAACGCUGGCGGCGUGCCUAAUACAUGCAAGUAGAACGCACAGUUUAUACUGUAGCUUGCUACACCAUAAACUGUGAGUUGCGAACGGGUGAGUAACGCGUAGGUAACCUGCCUGGUAGCGGGGGACAACUAUUGGAAACGAUAGCUAAUACCGCAUAAUAUUAAUUAUUGCAUGAUAAUUGAUUGAAAGAUGCAAUUGAAUCACUACCAGAUGGACCUUCGUUGUAUUAGCUAGUAGGUGAGGUAACGGCUCACCUAGGCGACGAUACAUAGCCGACCUGAGAGGGUGGUCGGCCACACUGGGACUGAGACACGGCCCAGACUCCUACGGGAGGCAGCAGUAGGGAAUCUUCGGCAAUGGACGAAAGUCUGACCGAGCAACGCCGCGUGAGUGAAGAAGGUUUUCGGAUCGUAAAGCUCUGUUGUAAGAGAAGAACGGGUGUGAGAGUGGAAAGUUCACACUGUGACGGUAUCUUACUAGAAAGGGACGGCUAACUACGUG
RNAcentral lists this ribosomal RNA (505 nucleotides) under uncultured bacterium. RNAcentral describes it as "partial 16S ribosomal RNA". It matches the Rfam family "Bacterial small subunit ribosomal RNA", at positions 28 to 507 of the family's 1533-position model. The record is from RNAcentral.